GUAGGGAAUCUUCGGCAAUGGACGAAAGUCUGACCGAGCGACGCCGCGUGAGUGAAGAAGGUUUUCGGAUCGUAAAACUCUGUUGGUAGAGAAGAACGUUGGUGAGAGUGGAAAGCUCAUCAAGUGACGGUAACUACCCAGAAAGGGACGGCUAACUACGUGCUAG
This 166-nucleotide ribosomal RNA is filed under the name uncultured bacterium. RNAcentral's name for it is "partial 16S rRNA". It matches the Rfam family "Bacterial small subunit ribosomal RNA", at positions 354 to 511 of the family's 1533-position model. The record is from RNAcentral.